RNAcentral lists this long non-coding RNA (335 nucleotides) under Ursus maritimus (polar bear). RNAcentral's name for it is "lncRNA (ENSUMAG00000016464.1)". The record is from RNAcentral. Lineage: Eukaryota; Metazoa; Chordata; Mammalia; Carnivora; Ursidae.
CAGACGCGCCCUGGCGGCCCGCGCGGCUGCGAGCUGAAGAGCGCAGUUCCAACCCUCCUUUGAAGCGUUUGCGCACAGCCAGUUGAGUUUCAUUUUCAGGUUAAUAACAAAAGGCGACGCAUCUGGACUUUCCCCGGAGCCCUCUGCGUUUUUAAAGCGUCGGGUGGAAUUAGGGGUCCUUUGGCUGUAAACCGCGCUUAUUUGAUGAAAAUAGAAAUCAGUCCUGCUCCCCUCAGCGGACAGUUCGUUACCUACCAGGAGUGUCUCCGACUGUGGGCAUCCCCUCCCUGGGUUGUUCUUUAAGCCACAAAAAGCUGCACCCAAGCUUGUUUGAC